Molecule: ribosomal RNA, 304 nt
Filed under: uncultured bacterium
Lineage: Bacteria
Description: partial 16S ribosomal RNA
Rfam family: Bacterial small subunit ribosomal RNA
Source: RNAcentral
CAGCAGUAGCCGCGGGAAUACGGAGGGUGCAAGCGUUAAUCGGAAUUACUGGGCGUAAAGCGCACGCAGGCGGUCUGACAAGUCAGAUGUGAAAUCCCCGGGCUUAACCUGGGAACUGCAUUUGAAACUGUCAGGCUGGAGUCUUGUAGAGGGGGGUAGAAUUCCAGGUGUAGCGGUGAAAUGCGUAGAGAUCUGGAGGAAUACCGGUGGCGAAGGCGGCCCCCUGGACAAAGACUGACGCUCAGGUGCGAAAGCGUGGGGAGCAAACAGGAUUAGAUACCCCUGUAGUCCCUGUCUCUUAUAC